RNAcentral lists this non-coding RNA (176 nucleotides) under Clostridiaceae bacterium. RNAcentral's name for it is "Lysine sequence". It matches the Rfam family "Lysine riboswitch aptamer". From Rfam's summary of the family: Riboswitches are metabolite binding domains within certain messenger RNAs that serve as precision sensors for their corresponding targets. Allosteric rearrangement of mRNA structure is mediated by ligand binding, and this results in modulation of gene expression. This family includes riboswitches that sense lysine in a number of genes involved in lysine metabolism, including lysC. The record is from RNAcentral. Lineage: Bacteria; Bacillati; Bacillota; Clostridia; Eubacteriales; Clostridiaceae.
AUUAAUGGUAGAGGAGCGGGUAUUAAUAGUAUGUACUUUGAGUCGGCCAGACUGUGAAAGGUACAAAAAGGAGUAACCGCCGAAGUGAAGGUUUUUAGCCAAAACGCUUUGCUGGGCCUAUGGUGAAUAAUUAUAGGACUGUCACCCUAAACUAAGGGUGGAGCACUAUUUCGUAA